GUCCACGCUGUAAACGUUGGGCGCUAGGUGUGGGGAUCUUCCACGAUCUCCGUGCCGGAGCUAACGCAUUAAGCGCCCCGCCUGGGGAGUACGGCCGCAAGGCUAAAACUCAAAGGAAUUGACGGGGGCCCGCACAAGCGGCGGAGCAUGUUGCUUAAUUCGACGCAACGCGAAGAACCUUACCAAGGUUUGACAUCACCCGGAAACGUGCAGAGAUGUGCGCCUCUUCGGACUGGGUGACAGGUGGUGCAUGGCUGUCGU
This 261-nucleotide ribosomal RNA is filed under the name uncultured bacterium. Its description in RNAcentral is "partial 16S ribosomal RNA". It matches the Rfam family "Bacterial small subunit ribosomal RNA", at positions 793 to 1055 of the family's 1533-position model. The record is from RNAcentral.